GGAGUUAGCCGGUGCUUCUUCUGUGAGUGAUGUCCUUCCUGCCGGCUAUUAACCCGCAGGCCUUCUUCCUCACUGAAAGUGCUUUACAACCCGAAGGCCUUCUUCACACACGCGGCAUGGCUGGAUCAGGGUUGCCCCCAUUGUCCAAUAUUCCCCACUGCUGCCUCCCGUAGGAGUCUGGGCCGUGUCUCAGUCCCAGUGUGGCUGAUCAUCCUCUCAGACCAGCUACGGAUCGUCGCCUUGGUGAGCCGUUACCUCACCAACCAGCUAAUCCGACAUAGGCUCAUCCGAUAGCGCGAGGCCCGAAGGUCCCCCGCUUUCCCCCGUAGGGCCGUAUGCGGUAUUAGCCUGGGUUUCCCCAGGUUAUCCCCCACUACCGGGCAGAUUCCUAUGCAUUACUCACCCGUCCGCCGCUCGCCACCAGGGAGCAAGCUCCCCGUGCUGCCGCUCGACUUGCAUGUGUUAGGCCUGCCGCCAGCGUUCAAUCUGAGCAGANCAACUACUGA
This 506-nucleotide ribosomal RNA is filed under the name uncultured bacterium. Its description in RNAcentral is "partial 16S ribosomal RNA". The record is from RNAcentral.